UCGAGAAUUUUUCACAAUGGGCGAAAGCCUGAUGGAGCGACGCCGCGUGGGGGAUGAAUGGCUUCGGCCCGUAAACCCCUGUCAUUCGCGAACAAUGCCUGCGGUCCAAUACAUCGCAGGUUGAUAGUAGCGGAAGAGGAAGGGACGGCUAACUCUGUGCCAGCAGCCGCGGUAAUACAGAGGUCCCAAGCGUUGUUCGGAUUCACUGGGCGUAAAGGGUGCGUAGGCGGUCGGAUAAGUCUGAUGUGAAAUCUCCGAGCUUAACUCGGAAAUGGCAUUGGAAACUAUUCGGCUUGAGGUCUGGAGGGGGGACUGGAAUUCUCGGUGUAGCAGUGAAAUGCGUAGAUAUCGAGAGGAACACCAGUGGCGAAGGCGAGUCCCUGGACAGGUCCUGACGCUGAGGCACGAAAGCUAGGGGAGCAAACAGG
RNAcentral lists this ribosomal RNA (428 nucleotides) under uncultured bacterium. RNAcentral describes it as "bacterial SSU rRNA". It matches the Rfam family "Bacterial small subunit ribosomal RNA", at positions 355 to 776 of the family's 1533-position model. The record is from RNAcentral.